CUUCCCAGUGCAUUCCUUUUCCAGAGAGCCCAUUGCACUGGAGCUAUGCAUGGAAAACCCACGUGAACUCAGGGAAGGAAAUCAGUCACGACCCUGGGCACAAUCCCUCAAUAUCUGGGUAAACUGGAGCCCAAUCCAAUCCACACCUCCUGCAUCCCCACCACCCUGAAAAACUGCACUUCCCCACGUCUUGGAGAUGUAUUUUUCCAUGGGAUUUCUUUCAGGGGUUGCCACCACAACCGAGUGGGAAGAAAACCAGAAGGGUCCUAAAUAUUUUCCUCCAGGAAUGAAUGAGCACAAUGGUCCACACGAACUGAAAAACAAAAACCCCCAGAAGAUUAUAAUCUUUUUUUACCAUCAAAGCCUGCAGGAGCAGCGUGAAAGGGAAGGACUUGCCUGAUCAAAUCGAAAUAAUUUCUUCCGUGAAGAAAUUCCUGCUGAUGUUCCACCUGAACCUCCCCUGGCACAGCCUGAGGCCAUUUCCCCUUGUCCUGUCUUUGGAAAACCUUGGCUGGAGAGAAGGGCUGAGGAGAAACUGCCAAAACUCCGGGUUAAUUACGGCUCUUAGAUCUCGUCAUUUCCACCUUUUUCCUGGAUGUUCUUUCACUAUGUGUAUGUUGGGAAUACGUGAGACACGUUUUAUAUCGGUUAUGUACACAUGUGUAUGUAUAAAAUAUAUAACUAUAUGAAAUAUGCCUAUA
Molecule: non-coding RNA, 701 nt
Organism: Lonchura striata (white-rumped munia)
Lineage: Eukaryota; Metazoa; Chordata; Aves; Passeriformes; Estrildidae
Source: RefSeq, a predicted model, not a curated record